CCUACGGGAGGCAGCAGUGAGGCAUAUUGGUCAAUGGGCGCGAGCCUGAACCAGCCAAGUAGCGUGAAGGAUGACUGCCCUACGGGUUGUAAACUUCUUUUAUACAGGAAUAAGUGACGCACGUUUGCCUUUUUGUCUGUACUUUAUGAAUAAGGAUCGGCUCACUCCGUGCCAGCAGCCGCGGUAAUACGGAGGAUCCGGGGGUUAUCCGGAUUUAUUGGGUUUAAAGGGAGCGUAGGGGGGUUGUUAAGUCAGUUGUGAAAGUUUGCGGCUCAACCGUAAAAUAGCAGUUGAUACUGGCAGUCUAGAGUGCAGUUGAGGUAGGCGGAAUUCGUGGUGUAGCGGUGAAAUGCAUAGAUAUCACGAAGAACUCCGAUUGCGAAGGCAGCUUACUGGGCUGCCACUGACGUUGAGGCUCGAAAGUGUGGGUAUCAAACAGGAUUAGAUACCCCAGUAGUC
This 459-nucleotide ribosomal RNA is filed under the name uncultured bacterium. RNAcentral's name for it is "partial 16S ribosomal RNA". It matches the Rfam family "Bacterial small subunit ribosomal RNA", at positions 338 to 795 of the family's 1533-position model. The record is from RNAcentral.